CACGUAGGGUGCGAGCGUUGUCCGGAAUCAUUGGGCGUAAAGCGCACGUAGGCGGCCUCAUAAGUCGGAUGUGAAAUCCCUCGGCUCAACCGAGGACGUGCAUCCGAAACUGUGAAGCUCGAGUAUGGAAGAGGGUCGCGGAAUUCCCGGUGUAGAGGUGAAAUUCGUAGAUAUCGGGAGGAACACCAGUGGCGAAGGCGGCGACCUGGGCCAAUACUGACGCUGAGGUGCGAAAGCGUGGGGAGCAAACAGG
RNAcentral lists this ribosomal RNA (253 nucleotides) under uncultured bacterium. RNAcentral describes it as "partial 16S ribosomal RNA". It matches the Rfam family "Bacterial small subunit ribosomal RNA", at positions 524 to 776 of the family's 1533-position model. The record is from RNAcentral.